GGGAGUGUGUAUAUGGGUGGCUUAUGUAUGUUUUCGUAUCACAGUUAGGUUUACUUUAUAAACAGAAUUUAGAAGUUUCCUUCUUUUUCUGUGCUUUGGAACAGAAUCAAAAGCAGCCUGCUCAUCCGUUCCUAAAGGUUUCACAACAGAAUUCCCCCAGUGAAAUAAUUUCCGUCUGGUGUUUUUGUGAAUAGUGAUGGGGGGAGUACAGUUCUCUGACAAUGUCUAUUGCUUCUGUGAUCAUUGGUCUGCUUAGAAUUUCUGUCUCUUCUGGGAUGUUUGUGUAAAUCAUAUUUUCUUGAAACAUCAUCCAUUUCAUCCAGGGUUUCAAAUUUAUUUUCAUAGAGUUGAAGAAAGAAAUCUUUUAUAAUUGUUUUCUUUUUUUCUGUAUCUAUGAUUACUUCACCUUAUUUGAUGUUUUGAAUGUGCUUUUGCCCUUUGUUUUCUGGUUGUUAAUUUUAUUCUACUGCUGCUUUUCCAACUCUUAGGUUUGUUAGAAUACUCGGUUCUGUUCUCUAAAUCAUUAAUUCAUUCUUUCAUUCUUACUAAUUCUUUUCUCCUGUUUUUCUUAGGUUUUUAUUUUUUCCUCAUCUUCUGAAUUGGUUAUUUUCUAUUUUCCUUUGAGGACUACUUUAGAGCGCCACACAAGCGCUGAUGUUCUUUCUGUCCUGUCAGCUUGGUUUUGAGUGGAUCGAAAGUAGGAAUUUUAAUGACUUUUUUUUUGGACAGGAAUCCCACACUCAUUUUUAUCCCACAUCACCGCCUCCCCCUCUUUCUCCUCGGAGCUGUUUUAAUGAUGAAGGUCGCCGAGGAGGUUCUUCGCCCUGGCGCGGGAGGCGGCAGGAGAGGCCUCCCGUGGCCUCCGCCUCUUUCUCGCCCCGCAGGCGGCGGGAGGCACCGGCUGCGCAGGGGGCGCGCGGAGGCUGAGCCACGCAGAGCUCCCCGCCGGGUGCGGGACCCGCAGGCGCGGGCUCGGGCGCUGCACGCCCGCGGGCACGCGCACUCCCGGGUGACGGCGCAGACGCCGCGGCCCGCGGCCUCCUGGGUUUGGAUUCCUGCUGGCUCUCACCUGGACGGGGCCGGGGGAGGUGAAGAUGCUCCAGACGCAGAGUUGAGGCCUGAUUCGGGGAUAUCUGGGGCGCUGUGGUACAUUAGAGAGCACGGCGGCGGCUCUGCCGCGUCGGUGCUGCUGGCGGCGGAGAGGAACCCUUCGCGGCGUCUCCCGAGCCUGCUGCGCGCGGAGGUGGGGACAUGGACCAGAAGGAAAGAGAUUUAUCAGGAGGCAAUUGAGAUUAGGGACCAGCUGAGUUUUGAUGGUUACUGACUUACUGAAUUGGCAGUGGGGAUUGAUUUGGAAGGAACGCUGUGGCCAUAAAUGUUGAAGAAGGCAAGAGGAUUCUUUGUGACAUUGAGUCUUUCUCUAACACUACGGUGGAGGAAAUGCCAAUGAAUGUGGUCAACGUUUCUUAAUUCCUGGGAUGAGAUGAUUUCAAAUGCAGUACUCACUGUUGCUCACUAGGCGAUCACAAUGUGCACUGUGCUCCCUUCUUUGGGGAUAUCUGAAGCUUGUCUCAAUGCUCAAAAUGGACCUGAAAUACAGAUUUUGAUUUCAAAGUGACUACAGUCAUGAGCUUUUGUGAAGAAAGUCAUUGACAUUCUUCUUCUGAGAGUUAGAUUGUUGGGGCUGGAUAUAAUAGAUGGGAGAUCUGUAAAAAUCUUUCUUUCUUAGAAAUGUACCCCCUUAUUCUGUAGAAAUGGUUGUAUUGGGUGUUCUUGAUAAUAUACUUGUGAACUAAUAUAUAUAAGUGCUGUAGUCAUUAGUUAGUCAUUAUUCUGAAUAGAAAAGACUUUAAAAUGACUCUUUUUAAAAAAAAUACUUUGAUUCAUUUUGUUUGGUAUUGUGUUCUUAAUUCAGUAAAGGAUCUUCUUCAGUGCUAAGUGUGAACUGGAUCCUUUUGCUAAGCACCAGCCAACAAUCUAUACUAAGGUUAAAUCCCAGAAAUAUUGCCAUACUGUAUAUUACAUGUUCAAUAAAUUAUAAUAAAGGGUCUUUUACAGUGGUUUGGCCUUUAUUCC
This 2076-nucleotide long non-coding RNA is filed under the name Dasypus novemcinctus (nine-banded armadillo). RNAcentral's name for it is "lncRNA (ENSDNOG00000050980.1)". The record is from RNAcentral. Lineage: Eukaryota; Metazoa; Chordata; Mammalia; Cingulata; Dasypodidae.